AUGAACGCAUGACUAGGAAGAGUAGCUGUUCUCGCUAAGACAAGAGACCACCGGUAGCUGAAAAGGUGGCUUACAACUGAGCGGCGAAGAUGAACCUAGGAGCAAGUCACCGGUGGAAGCUGGUGGCUCGGGUUGAAGCCCGUUACCGCUUCCGACUUUUGGCAACAGAAGUUACGGAGAUGGUGGAUGUGAAUCCACCAUGAAUCAAGGUGGUACCGCGAGUGAAAUCGUCCUUAUG
Molecule: non-coding RNA, 238 nt
Filed under: Levilactobacillus brevis
Lineage: Bacteria; Bacillati; Bacillota; Bacilli; Lactobacillales; Lactobacillaceae
Description: Lactobacillus brevis T-box sequence
Rfam family: T-box leader
About the family: Uncharged tRNA acts as the effector for transcription antitermination of genes in the T-box leader family.
Source: RNAcentral